GCCUGGGUGGCUUAGUUGGUUAAGCAUCCGACUUUGGCUCAGGUCACGAUCUCAUGGUUCGUGGGUUUGAGCCCCACAUCAGGCU
This 85-nucleotide transfer RNA is filed under the name Felis catus (domestic cat). It matches the Rfam family "tRNA". From Rfam's summary of the family: Transfer RNA (tRNA) molecules are approximately 80 nucleotides in length. Their secondary structure includes four short double-helical elements and three loops (D, anti-codon, and T loops). Lineage: Eukaryota; Metazoa; Chordata; Mammalia; Carnivora; Felidae. The record is from Rfam by way of RNAcentral.